AAACAGGGUGCGCUGUCCACCAGACCGAGUUCUGGAAGUGAACUGGAAGUGAAUGAGGGAGAUUUAAGUGAGGUGGAAGGUGUGGUGAGGAUCUCGCAAGCUGAGCCUUGCAUUGAUGGACAUGGUUAUGAUAAAGAUGAGUUUUGCCCAGUGGGAGUUAGAUUCUUGGAGAAAGUGGAUCCAGGCCUUUUGCUGGACAAAUCUUUUUGCUCGAACUGGUUCUGCAGAAGGUUAUAUCCACUAAUACAGGACUAUUAAAGGCCCAGUGCACUAAUUUUGUGGACCAAAAAAAGUUACAUUUGUAUUUUUUAUUCUGCAGCACCCCUACUUCCAGUGGUAUGCCUGUGAGUAGUAGAUCUGUGCCAGCACAGAGGAAUAGGCCAAGGAGUGAUAUAUGCUUCAGUAAGGUGGGCUUCUUAGAGUUCAUAGCAAUGGUUAUCAACUGUACCUCAGAAAUGGAAUGUCAAUCACAGAAAAUAGAUGUUGUGUUGGCAGCUGCAGUACUUGGUUGUACGAGAUUUGACUUCUGAAGAGUUAGAGAGUGUGUUGAGAGGUGGUGUCCUGUCCUCCCAGACCGUUGGCAUGGUGCAGGAGCAGAUAGGGUCAAAGUAGUGGAAUUGGGUAGUCAGAAGGGUGUAUUAUUAUUUAAUAAAUUGGGUAUAUAUCUUUGGGGUAUCACAAAGUAUAAUGGAUUUAUACUAUAGUCCAGUUGGGGGCAUUAAUGCAACAUAUUAGAUGCCAACCGCCGUUAAACCCCUCCGAAGAAGAUGAAGAAGAAGACAUGCAGCACUGUCUCACAGGCUGCAUGUCGCCCCCAAGACCAGAACCAAUCGCAUGCAGGGAACAAUGAGUCAUCAAAGCCACAUUCAAACAGAGCCAGAAAGCUGAAGCCUAGAGAAAAAAGGCAGUACAUCAUUGGCUAAUAAGACAAGAUGGAGGAAAUCUAGUGAUUCAUCAACAAGGAACGCUGUGAUAAGAGGAAUGGUGUCUCUGAAGCAUUGCAGUACAGAUUAUGUCCCAAACCCAGACCACCCUGCGGACUUCCUGCCUUAGCUGUGAGGACAUGAGUUCUCUCACCAAGACUACAAAGGAUUCCCCCUGUUUACAUUUGCCUCCUGGUGAAAUGGGUUACACUUUAACUCUUAUUUAAGCACUGCUGUUUGUUGUUUUGCUAUUAUAUUCCAACACACAGGUUCUCCUCCCGGUGUGUGUUCUGAUAGAAGCACUGUGGAGGCAAUGUUCAAAUUAGACCUGUGACAAUAAAUGCGCUGUUGAAAAA
Salmo salar (Atlantic salmon) is the source of this 1279-nucleotide long non-coding RNA. RefSeq lists it as uncharacterized. NCBI's taxonomy places the organism in Eukaryota, Metazoa, Chordata, Actinopteri, Salmoniformes, Salmonidae. The record is from RefSeq and is a predicted model, not a curated record.